Long non-coding RNA from Gorilla gorilla gorilla (western lowland gorilla), 2782 nucleotides. RefSeq lists it as uncharacterized. The transcript is spliced from 2 exons. NCBI's taxonomy places the organism in Eukaryota, Metazoa, Chordata, Mammalia, Primates, Hominidae. The record is from RefSeq and is a predicted model, not a curated record.
UCAGUCUGUCUGGUCUGAGCUGGCGUGGACAUUUGCUCUCUGGGUGCAUCGCAGAGACCUGCAGGGCCCUGGCGCUCAGAAGCCAGCGUGAGGUUCUAGGUCUGGGGCCGGGGCGGGCGACAGCGGGGCUCGGAGCCACAGCCACAGCCCUGCCUGACGUAGGUAAUUCACCCCUUUAAUAAUCAGAAGACGGAAAGAAGGAAAAGGUGCAGGCCAGAGGGAACCCGAAUUCCCUGUUGAGUGCGACUUUCUUUUUGAGGUCUGGUUUCUGGUCAGUGUCCCGAGGACAUUAUGCCAUGCAGGGCGGUUCUGAAUUGCCUGGGCCCAGCCUGGUGUUGCCACGGUCCCCACCCCACUCUGCAGCCCUGUCUGAUCCUGACCCAGUUUUCUUGCCCACCCCUGAGGCUCAAACACUGUGAUUUGAGCUCAGACAAGCCUGUACCAAAAUGUCAAGUGGUCUCCUCCAGCGGUGCCUAUCACCACCAGCCUGUGUCUCCCUGUGAAAUAUGGCCUGGUUCCAUCAUGGAUUUAUUUUCCUGCCUCCCAGUAGGACAGAUCUCAGCUCUUUAGGCCGACAACCCCUGACAGCAACUCAGCCACCUCCUGCCCUCACCCUUGGAGCCCUGUCUACUGAUGGCUCACUUGGAGCCUGGCUUGGGGUGACCUCUGUGCCAGGGUGUGCGGUCAUUUCCCUGGAUUCUUGUUAGAGUCCUCAUCUGCCCAAGGAGAUGAUGACCCUGAGCUACUAAGAACAGGCUUCCUUCAUGUCAGGACACAGAGACAAACAUGUGCACCAUGUAAGGGAAGGGAAGAUGGUAAAGAGAAAUUGGUGAACAAAUGCCGCGGCCAGGCAGGUGGCACGAAUGAGCUGAGUGUGGCAUCAGAGGGGUGGGAACUUGGUGCCGCUCAGCCUUGGCAGGCAGCUGCUAAGUAGGAAUGCACAAACACUGGCCAGAUCAUCUGAUUUUUAAAAAGCCAGAAAUAUGGACUUCUGUAUAAAAUUUUGUGAUUUUUAAAUGUUGGCAAUGUUCUUGCUUUUUUUCUUUUUAAUCCUGGAUAGGGUAAACCACCAGUUUCCAACUUCUGUACUAAAACAUGUUCUCUAGAUUUUUUUUUUUUUUUUUUUGAGACGGAGUCUCGCUCUGUCGCCCAGGCUGGAGUGCAGUGGUGCGAUCGCGGCUCACUGCAAGCUCCGCCUCCUGGGUUGACGCCAUUCUCCUGCCUCAGCCUCUGGAGUAGCUGGGACUACAGGCGCCCGCCACCACACCCAGCUAAUUUUUUGUAUUUUUAGUAGUGACGGGGUUUCACCGUGUUAGCCAGGAUGGUCUCGAUCUCCUGACCUCGUGAUCCGCCUGCCUCAGCCUCCCAAAGUGCUGGGAUUACAGGUGUGAGCCACUGUGCCUGGCCCCAUGUUCUCUAGAUUUUUAAAACUAAGAUUUUGUUUUAUAUAUUUAUAUGGAAAUACAGAAAAAUGCCCAGAAAAAGUGCCUAUAAUUUUCACUGUUAACAAAAUUAUAUAAAGUAAGAAGUAAAAGUAGCUCUAAGAUCCCCUUCACUUCUCCGGUUUGCUGAUGUGUGGUAGAGGAGGGGCCAUAGAGACGAAGGUCUGUAUGCGGAGGUCAGGUGAGCCCUGGAAGUGGGCAGGAUUUGGAAGGACUGACAAUGAGGAGACCUUGCCCUCAGGUAGGAAGACAGGGUUGAUCCUUAUCUUUGUUUCAAUGGCAGCUGCACUCUUGCAUGCAUGGUCCAGUUCUAUCUCCCGUUUUAUAUGUCCAUUGAACAUAACAAAUCCUAGUGUAACCACAGCCCUACCCAAGAACAUGAUGAGACACAACUCCCUAAGUUUUCCCCCCGAAAGUAACCAAAGAACUACUCUGACUUUGACACUUGUUAUCCUUUCUAGCUUGUCUCUUUUCUUAUAUACAUACAUAUAUACACAAAUAUAUAUAUAUAUAUAUAUAAAAUGCAUACACGAGUUUUGUCUUUUUGUUUUUAAACUUUAUAAGAAGGAUAUGAUAUAUGUGGGUGUUAGGGACAUUUUACUUCAUUCAUUCUCACUUGUUAUCCUAUUGUGGGAAUACUCCUCACUUUGCUUAUCUGGUGUCCUAUAGUUGAACAUUUGAGCUGCCUUCUACUUUUUUGUUAGCGUAAACAUUGAUGCUGAGCGUGAUCCCUGGGACAGGUCCUGAAUGUGGAAUUGUUGGGUAGCAGGGUGUGCAAAUAUUCAACCUAAUAGGAUUGUGCCAAAUUAUUUCCAAAAGUGGCUGUAUCAACUCACACUCCUACUGGCCAUGUGUAAGAGAUGUAAUUGGCCCACAGCCUUCCCAGUAUUUGCUAUUGUCAGACUUCUUAAAGUUUGCCUGUCAUAUGGGCAUAAAAUGAUUUCUGAUUGUGGUCUUGAUCUGUAGCUCCCUGAUAAUUAAUGAGACCAAGAAUCUUUUCAUGUGUAUACAUAUUGGCCCAUCGACAACACUGACUCUUCUGAGCCGUGAACAGCAUAUACCUUUAUGUAUUUAGUUCUUCUGUCUUUCAGUUGUAUUUUAUAGUAUUGUGUUGUAUGCAUUUUUCAUUAGAGUUGCUCCUUGUAUUUCAUAUUUUGUUCUAUUGUUAAAUCGGAUAUUGGUUUGAUUUCUUUUGGAUUGGUUUCUUACUGUUUAUUGCUGUAUUGUAUAUGUAUAGAAAGGUGCAAAUAUCACAAGUUUACAGCUUGAUGAAUUUUCAUUGGACUUACCUGUUUAACCUAGACCCAGAUGAAUAAAACACAGCUUCCCCAGCACCCUAA